Molecule: RNA transcript, 2839 nt
Organism: Lolium rigidum
Lineage: Eukaryota; Viridiplantae; Streptophyta; Magnoliopsida; Poales; Poaceae
Exons: 10
Source: RefSeq, a predicted model, not a curated record
CGGCCCCAUCCAUUCCUCGCCGGCUCCCUCCCUCGGCAACCACCUCCCCUUGGGGCUUCCAAGAUCGGGAGGGAGGAUCGGAGCCUUAGCUAGCCACCUCCCCGAUCCCCUUUCUCUCGUUCUUCUUUCCCUCUCCUAGAUCACCUCGCUAGGGCUUCUCCCCCUCCCCGAUCUAGCAGCCGCAGCGGCCAGCGAGGAGCAGCACCAGCAAUGGCAUCCGGCGGUGGCGCGCUUGGAGCAUGGACAUCGACAGGGAGGAGGUCAAGGUCUAGAUCUGAAGCAGUGCGAGCCACUGCUGGAGGCGGAGUUGAAUGUGCUCUGCCUCAUGGCCAUGGAGAGCAACGUCCACCGCAUCGAACCCCGGCCCAUCAAGAUACGUGAAGAACCACCAUCAUAUUCAACAUCUGUCCUACAGAAGUGUGAGUCGUUUGACAACCCCCAUGUGGGUGUGCGAGUCGAAGUUCUGGAUCACACGAGGAUACUGAUAAGAGUUCCAGUUUCGGGAAUCCUCAAUCCGGGAAAGCAUUGUAUGACUUCACAAGGCGGCGAUGAUGAGCUGAGUUUGAACUCUCGAGAAGAUGUCGAUCGAAUAUGAGGUUGAUGGUUGGUACUACGUAAAGAAAAAAGAGAUCUAGAAGGGAUGGGAAGAUAGCAGGUCUGGUGCCUGCUUUGGGUAUGUGAGCUCGUGAUAGCAAUGAACCUUGUGACAUACUACUCUGAGAGCUGUUUCUAUUGAAUUUGGUAACAAAUGUGGUAUCAAUAAUGAAGUAGUUAUAAGAGCAUGUGGUCAAGUAGAAUCACGGUCAACUUCAGGAACGGCUGUCGCAGAUGGGUAAAGCUACAAAUUGCUCUGAAACAUGCUUAACUCAGACUAUUCUAGCGUUGGAGUUGUGGCCGGCUGGCCGCUGCCGCAUCGUUCCAGGCGAACAAGCCGAUGGUGAUCAACGACAUGUAGGUGGCACCUCAGCAGGCCGGCGAGGUCCGCAUUAAGAUCGUCUUCACCAAGCUCUGCCACACCAAGAGGUCCAUGGCGAGGUGGUGGGUUUUGGUAUCUGCAGGCUGAAAGGAUCUUGCUCGUGGAACCUCUUUCAGAACUGUUGGCUAUAAAACUGAAGUAAUCUCUAUCAUGUGUUGCAGAUUCGGCCAUCUAUCAUUUUCUUUGUGCUUGUUCACAUCUGAUUUGUAUGUAGGUGUGCAAACAGGCUAUGGGUUGUAUUCGUUAGUUCACAAGAGGUAUUACAGAAGACUAUUGUGUUUGUGCUGAUGCCUAGAUCAGGUACUUCCAAUACAUUAUUGGUUUGCAGACUGUAAGUACACAUGUUUGUUAAGCCUGUAGAAGUGUAAAACUUCAGAAGAGGGUGAGUGCAUACAGAUGGAAGCGUCAUAUCCAAUGUUGACUUGCUAUGUUGCUUGGACCAUAUAUAUAAAUUUGUUCUUGCUGAUUCAGCAAUGGUGCAUAGAGGUGGUCCAAAUUUACUCCAAUCCUUCCUCAAUGUAUACUGAUGGCGGGCAGAUUAGUUCAGGGAAGUGGUGAUUCCAGUGAUGCUCACGUCAAGGACAUAUUGGAUAAGGGGACUGUUGGGAAGAGUGACAACGGAUUGAGGAUGAAUUCAGGUGGUGAUGCAUAUGCUGAAUCUAUUUUACUACUUCAGAGAGCGCAGUAAUCUCUUGAGAAUGCAGGGGAGCUCUGAAGCUGCUCCCGGGAGUGCAUCCAUGGCAGUUUUUCUUCUGCCAUCCAAGAUGGUCGAAGGGCGACCACUCCCACCCUCUUCGUCGGCCACGGUUCUCUCCGGCCGACGAUUGAAGGCGAAGAACAACCUCUAGGCUGCCAUGCCAAGGGUGUCCAGGUUUGAGAAGCUCUCGUCCGGAUGAUGCAGUGAAUCUUGGCUUCCAUCUUCUCCUGGAGAAGUUGAUAAAGAUCAGGUUGUUGAUACUUUGAAUUGCACAUCUCCACACCCUUGUCCUGCCGAGAGCUUCCAGCUCAAGUAUUCUUGAAUCUUUCUCGUUGAUCAGUGUUGAUGCAGUUUUGACUCGAGAUCCUUUCCCUUUCCCUCCACCAUAGGUUCCUCAAGGUGGAGCAACUCGCUCCAUCCAUCAUCAUGUGCAUCAAAAUCAUCAGUUGAUUCCUUCCUGACCACCACAGAGUUUUGAAUCUUUGCAAUACACAACGGAGCAAUGAUUAGCAUAGGAGCCCUUCUGUAGAGGUAAUUUUCUUCUUUUAACAGAAGAGGUCCCAAAAGGACCUAGAAGCUUUCAUUCAUAGCGGUGGUGCAACAAAUACAAGAAGAACCAUUAAAAGUCGAAAUUACAAAUAGGUCCAGACAAUAUACGUAGAGGACCCUAGAUCUAGAUCUGGAAAUGCCAUCAGAUCCAGCUCCUUCACCACCGCGUCGGAGCACCACGGCACAGCCAAAUGCACCUACAUCGGGGACAGAACCACUUGGGGCGAAGCAUCGGGAGCUAACUGUAUAGGAGCAGAGGGGCCUCCAUCUUGGCCGGUGACCGAAGAGCUCUCUAUGAGCAGCAGGAAUAUCUGCUCAGUGACUACAAGCAGCUCGAAUUCAAACUAAGUCAAUCAGAGAACCGGGCAGCGAUACUAGGAGAGAUGGUAGAGAAUUUGGAGGCACAAGCCAAAAGAGCUCUCAGCGAGUCUUAAUUUUAUUUUUGGUUCUCUUCUAACAUUUUUAUGAUCUUUUUUUUUACCUUGUUGGAGUACAGUUGCUAAAUAGUUAAAAUUUGAUUAGUUUGAUAUGUGGAAUUCAGUGACGCAAAUAUAAGUUAUCUCAAUUUUUUUACCAAAUGAUGUGUUUAUUGGACUGAGUCAUAAUGGAACACUUAG